This 437-nucleotide ribosomal RNA is filed under the name uncultured bacterium. RNAcentral's name for it is "bacterial SSU rRNA". It matches the Rfam family "Bacterial small subunit ribosomal RNA", at positions 9 to 448 of the family's 1533-position model. The record is from RNAcentral.
GAGUUUGAUCCUGGCUCAGAUUGAACGCUGGCGGCAUGCCUUACACAUGCAAGUCGAACGGCAGCACGGACUUCGGUCUGGUGGCGAGUGGCGAACGGGUGAGUAAUAUAUCGGAACGUACCCUAGAGUGGGGGAUAACGUAGCGAAAGUUACGCUAAUACCGCAUACGAUCUACGGAUGAAAGUGGGGGCUCGCAAGACCUCAUGCUCAUGGAGCGGCCGAUAUCUGAUCAGCUAGUUGGUGAGGUAAAGGCUCACCAAGGCGACGAUCAGUAGCUGGUCUGAGAGGGCGACCAGCCACACUGGGACUGAGACACGGCCCAGACUCCUACGGGAGGCAGCAAUGGGGAAUUUUGGACAAUGGGGGCAACCCUGAUCCAGCAAUGCCGCGUGAGUGAACCCGUUUUUCGGGUUGUAAAGCUCUUUUGUCAGGGAAGA